Mauremys reevesii (Reeves's turtle) is the source of this 1845-nucleotide long non-coding RNA. RefSeq lists it as uncharacterized. NCBI's taxonomy places the organism in Eukaryota, Metazoa, Chordata, Testudines, Geoemydidae. The record is from RefSeq and is a predicted model, not a curated record. The transcript is spliced from 4 exons.
GCCUCGAUUGUUGCCGGAGUUUGUGCGUGGGGAGGCCGGGAGGGGGUGAUCCCUAGUAAGUCGCGUAGGGAGGAGCGGAGUGAGGCGAAGGCGGCGGGAAGAGGUUUAAAUAGCGGAGACAGCUUUGAUAUUAUUUAGAGCACACAAAGUGCGUGGAAUAACCUGAGGAGUAAAAUUGUUCGGCAGCAUGGACUUGUUAAUCUCAGCCUGAUCUUGUCAGUAACAGCAGAGCAGAGGGAGAGGGAGAGGAACUCCGGCUGGGGCAGCGCUCCAAAGGUUUGUCUGUUAUUUUAUGGCUAAAUUACGUCUCAGCACCAAACUAUUAAGUAUGCGGAGUGUUGUUUGUAAUCUGUAGAUUCCGCAGUUGCGAAAAUGUGGGUGUUUAGCUGUAUUGUUCGUUUGCAACGGGGAAGAUUUGCCUGUGUGUGUAUGGAAGAGAGCGAGUGUGUUACGAUCUGGGAAACGCUGAAGAAGAAGAAACCCUGUUGGUUCUCCAUGCAAAUGACCGCUUUGGUUGUAACAAAAGCCUUGAUGUUGGGCUUGGAAAAAUGAUCUGACAGUGUAACAACCCCAGGCCACUUUCGCCAUGUUUUUGUUUAUUCAUGUUUCAUUCCGUUUUCCGUAGCUAUCUCACAGAUGUUUCCAAUUUCACUGUUUUUACACCGUCGAGCCUCCUUUUUUGGAGUUAGCAGUAAAAUGUGUGAAAGAAUGUUAACAAAACAGAGAGGUGUUGCAGAUGUUUAUACUUUAGUUCUUGCGUUGCGCUUGACGGUAUUGGCAGAGGGAUACAGUACAUAUGAAGGAACGUCAGAAGCAUCGGUUUUAACUACCGAGCUUGUAAUUUCUAAAUGUGCCCAUUGUAACUUGAAUUUUAACAUAAGCAGAUGAAGUGAACACGUUCCUGAUACAAUAUGUCCAGUUAGUAUCCUUUUUGGUUGUUACUAUUUCUGGGGGGAAAGAUACAAAAUAAGAGCGAGGAAAGGAAUAUAUGUGACACAACAUGUAUGCUCCUAGAUAAACUCCUGCCAUCUCGGAGUGCCUUUAAAUAUUUGAACAGCUUCUGUUAAGUCAAAUAAAAUUGGUUACCAUGAGAAACAAAAAAGUAUAAUAGAAUAGUUUAAACAGACAAAUGAAAACGUUAACAAGGAAUUGCUUUAGAAAUAUUAAUAGAAUGGUAGUAGUGGGGAAAAUCGUUUAAACAGAAUUAGUAGUAACACAUUUAAACCUUUUAGCCACUGAGGAACCUGGAAAACGCUCGCUCUCUGCCCCCUCCCCCCAGAAAUAACCUGCAGAGAUGAAUGAUGAAUCUUAAUGUCACAUAUAUUGAUAUAUUGAAAGAUUGGAGAUUAAAGAGAAAAGGAUUACAGAAUGUAGAGAAUUUUUUUAGCAGAAGACCUGUAGCCUUGCCCUGGGAAUUAACAUUGAAGAGGCUUUUAAGGAGGGGCAGGACUGAGUAUCUAAUGGAAAAUGGCCUAUGAGGUGAAAGAAGUUUAAAUAAAACCAGAAAUUUGAUUUAUGGCCAGUCUUUAUUGUGGGAAUUAAGAAUACAGCCUAACAGACUUUGACGAUGUUCCUACUCCUGCUUCAGCUGAGAAGUAGUGAAGGUGCUAUGUUACACUUUUUGCAAAAGUGUUUCAGCUGAUGAAGCAGAUCAUUUCAUAGGGUAAUAUGGACAGGAAUGUUAUGCUUAUUUGUUUGGAGAAAAGUUGCUGAUCAUACUGACUCUUGAAGGAAUGGGACAAAGAAGAGACGCUAAGUGGAGAUACUAGUUACUGAUUAGCUGUGUGGAAUAUGGAAAGAAUAUGGACAUUUUUCUUUUAAUGGUUAAUCUAUUGUGAUAAAGUU